GGCAAACGAUGGCCGGUCGGCAGCGUCUAUCUUCCAGCACUUCUGCAUCACGGCGUACCUGAGUUUGCGUAUACCAGAAUUUAUGUUUUUGAAUAUCCUUACGACGACGUUUGAUUGGUCAUGUGUUUUGUGAUUCAGAAAGCCAGGAUGUAGUUGUUUGAUACAUCUGUCGUGUAAAAUACUCGAAGUACAAUGUCAAGAGUGUUUAACGAACAUAUAUUUUUCUGGUCGGUCCAUACGGUAUCCGCCAAUCAAAAGGUUGUACAGUCUUUCUGGAGGAAUGCCAGGAUACGGCGGUGCACCGAGAGUCACGAUUUCCCACAACACUAUUCCGUACGACCAACUGAAAGACAAACAUAACAAGAUACGUGUCCGCUUCGUACACGUCCCUUGUGAGACCAAAAUCGGAGAUCUUCAACGCCUUUCCAUUGGACACGAGGAUAUUACGUGCAGCCAGGUCGCGAUGCACGAGCUGAAGUGGCAAAAAUAGACAUUAGUUUUGCGGAUCUCUAUACGUGUAGGAAAAAUAACCCAUUUUAUCUGUAUGUCAAACAACGCUGACCCAUUUUAUUAACAAAUAUUAGUAUUAGGUCAAAUAAUUACUGUCGAUGAGGUAUCAGAGUGUGAACGACCUUUAAAAAAGGUCAGCUCGAAUAGAAAACGUCGAAUACAUUCUGGCGUCAGCAUAUUGAUCAGUAGGUACUUACCUUAGUUCAUUGGUAAUAAAUAUCAGAUUAGGAUGUAAAAUGAGAUUGCCUUACUUGAUAUCUUUC
This is a long non-coding RNA of Dreissena polymorpha, 773 nucleotides long. RefSeq lists it as uncharacterized. The transcript has 3 exons. Lineage: Eukaryota; Metazoa; Mollusca; Bivalvia; Myida; Dreissenidae. The record is from RefSeq and is a predicted model, not a curated record.